Molecule: long non-coding RNA, 646 nt
Organism: Armigeres subalbatus
Lineage: Eukaryota; Metazoa; Arthropoda; Insecta; Diptera; Culicidae
Exons: 2
Source: RefSeq, a predicted model, not a curated record
CUUACGAUUCACAAGUGUCUCUCUUUCAAAGCUAAUCACAAUUACCUAAUCAGUACUAAGUCGUUAAAAUCCAAUUCGACUCUAUUAACACUAAAAAUAAACAAAUAUAAAAGUGGCGACGAGAAAUCAUUUAUGCAUUAUUGGCAAUUAGAAAACGCUGGAAAUAUGUUGCUAAGGGAGACGAUAAAAAGCAAUGGGCUUCAAGCUGAAGAUGAUCGUAUACUCGAGUCGAACAAGCAGCGAAGGCGUCGUUAUUCGGCGAGCGAAGAAACAAAUCUAUUGAGGCGACUUACAAAAAUGAAGAAUUUGAAUAUGAAAUUUUCAAACUUAGUUAUUUGUUCCGAUAAAAAAAAUCGUUUAGUAGUUCAUGAAAGCAUGAUUAAAACAUGUAAAGUAUCUAAAGCUCAAUUAGUAAAGAAUUUAAAAAUCUUUGUUUUAAGAAGUGUAAUUUGUGAAGAGAAUUGUGUUGAUGAAUGUCAAUUUCGAAUAACUAUGAAAAGUCUCCAAAAGGGGAAGAAUUGUUGUAUGCAAGAUUCCAAUACACAUACAGUGUAGUUACGAACGAUAACGAUCGUGUUUUUGCGAUGUUAUCUCACAAUCUGUGAUACUAAUAAACGAUCUAAUCAGAUCAUGUUCAAACUCCUUA